This 2908-nucleotide long non-coding RNA is filed under the name Homo sapiens (human). RNAcentral's name for it is "HSALNT0022760". The record is from RNAcentral. Lineage: Eukaryota; Metazoa; Chordata; Mammalia; Primates; Hominidae.
AACAUCAAGCAUAAUAUUUCAUUGAUUCUCACAAAAACAGUUGGGUGCCACAGUUAUCCCCAUUAUAUGCACAAAAUGAUGAAGACUUGGGGUUAAUGAGCGAUUUGCCCAAGCUCACCUGAAUAUUAGGACUGAGUCAAAUGUUAGUCUGGUCUGACUUUAAUGCUUGCCUUGUUCAUGAGCACCAUGCAUUGCCUCUCCUAUUAAGUUAAGCAGGUAGACAGGUGAGAGAAGAGCCUGUGUGAUAUCGGGGGAAAUUCACCCCUGAUAUUUCAUGUAGGUUCUUUUCUAUUUUCCCUGAGUGUCAGCCGGUCUGAGAAAUAAAGGGAAAGAGUACAAAAGAGAGAAAUUUUAAAGCUGGGUGUCCAGGGGAGACAUCACACGUCAGCAGGUUCCGUGAUGCCCCCCCAAGCUGCAAAACCAACAAGUUUUUAUUAGUGAUUUUCAAAAGGGGAGGGAGUGUACGAAUAGGGUGUGGGUCACAGAGAUCACAUGCUUCACAAGGUAAUAAAAUAUCACAAGGCAAAUGGAGGCAGGGCAAGACCACAGGACCGGGGCGAAAUUAAAAUUGCUAAUGAAGUUUCGGGCACGCAUUUUCAUUGAUAACAUCUUAUCAGGAGAAAGGGUUUGAGAGCAGACAACCCAUCUGACCAAAAUUUAUUAGGCGGGAAUUUCCUUGUCCUGAUAAGCCUGGGAGCGCCACGCGAACCCAGGGCUUAUUUCGUCCCUUAUCUACGACUGUAAAAGACAGCUGUCCCCAAAGCGGCCAUUUCAGAGGCCUCCCCUUAGGGAUGCAUUCUCUUUCUCAGGGAUGUUCUUUGCUGAGAAAAAGAAUUCAGCAAUAUUUCUCCUAUUUGCUUUUGAAAGAAGAGAAAUAUGGCUCUGUUCCACCCGGCCCACAGGCAGCCAGAGUUUAAGGUUAUCUCCCUUGUUCCCUGAAAUUGCUGUUAUCCUGUUCUUUUUUCAAGGUGCCCAGGUUUCAUAUUGUUUAAACAACUUGUGCAGUUAACGCAAUUAUCACAGGGUCCUGCGGGGACAUCAUCCUCAGCUUACGAAGGUGACCGGAUUAAGAGAUUAAAGUAAAGACAGGCAUAGGAAAUCACAAGGGUAUUGAUUGGGGAAGUGAUAAGUGUCCAUGAAAUCUUCACAAUUUAUGUUCAGAGAUUGCAGUAAAGACAGGCCUAAGAAAUUAUAGAAGUAUUAAUUUGGGGAACUAACAAAUGUCUAUGAAAUCUUCACAAUUUAUGUUCUUCUGCCAUGGCUUCAGCCAGUCCCUCCGUUUGGGGUCCCUGACUUCCCGCAACACGUUUCUCUCUACUCACAGACUUCUGACCAAAUGUGUGUGCAGAGUUUCUACACCAGUUCUCCAACUCUCUGGAUACCAACCGCGUAUCCCACAAUUCCAUUCUGACACUACCUAGAGUUAGCACAGAACCCACAGGUUAGGGGCUCAGUCCCACAAGACCACCCUCACUUCAGAUGCCAGUUGCAAGUCCUAGGUUGUCACCUGUAUUUUGACCAACCAGUUAGAAAUCGGGGUUUCCCAUGACCCUCUUCUUGAGUUUAAUUAUUUACUAGAACAACUCACAGAACUUAGAAAAACAGGUUUUUUUUCUUUUCUAUUUAAGAGACAGGGCCUCGCUCUGUUGUCCAAGCUGGUGUGCAGUGGUGCAAUCAUAGCUCAUUGAAGCCUCAACCUCCAGGGCUCAAGUGAUUCUCCUGCUUCAGCCUCUCAAGUAGCUGGAAUUACAGGGUUCCCACCACCACAUUUGGCUCAUUUCUUUUAUUUUUUGUAUAGAUGGGGUCUUCUUAUGUUGCCCAGGUUGGUCUCAAAUUGCUAGGCUCAAGUGAUUCCACCCACCUCUGCCUCCCACAGUGCUGGGAUUACGGGCAUGAGCCAGCGCAUCUGGCCACCUUAUUUUCAAUUACUGGCUCAAUGUAAUGGCUCCAUCUCAGGAACAGCCAAUGAAAGAGAUGCACAGGACAAGAGAUGGGACCUCAGUAUGUUGCCACGGCUGACCUUGAACUCCUGCACUCAAGGGAUUUUCCUACCCUGGCCUCCCAAAGUAUUGAGACGAGGUUUCGCCAUGUUUCCCAGACUGUUCUCAAACUCCUGAGCUCAAAGCAGUCCACCCACCUUGGCCUCCCAGAGUGCUGGGAUUACAGGUGUGAGCCAUCUUGCUCAUUCUAGUUUAAACUUUUGAGUAGUUUGUGUCUCCUGAUUGGACUCCUACAAAUACAGAAUUGAUGCUAGGAAGGGUACCAGGAGAUAGACGCACACAGAUGGGAUUUGGGAAUAGGUUUGGUUAUCCAAGGAGCAGUGCUGAGCUCCUUGCUAAUGGGAUAUGGGAUGCUGGUGAUUUCCAGGAAGUGAGCUCACAAUGACUCAAGCUGCCACAUAGUGUUGAUUGUGAAAUGCCAGUUGAAGCAUAUGUCCUGCGAGCUUGGGGGUGCUACAAGUUGACCACUGCAGCAGUAAAGAUGACUCUGAAGAAUGGCGUGGGAUGGAUCCUUUCAAAUGCACUUGAGCAGCAGUCUCCAACCACAGGGCCACAGAGCUGGAGCUGGAUCUACCAUGAAAGACUUCUGAAUCCAGGAAGAGAGACUGACUGGGCAACAUGUUAUUCAGGUACAAAAAGAUUUGGACUGUAACUUAAAAAUGAUCAAAUAAUAGUGCAUGCAUCAAGUGCAAUGGGAAGCUCCACUGGAGAGUGAGAGAAGCUUCCAGUUAAGGUGACAUUGAAGCCAAGUCCUGAAAGAUGAGGAAGAGUUGUAUGAGAGUGGGGAGGGAAGGGGGAGGUGGAGGGAUGGGGAAUGGGUCGGGAUGGGAUAGCAUAAACUGCCCGGGAAGGGAAACCAGCACUGUACAGAACUGAACAACGAAGAUGGCAUAUUUUGUUCAGGGAAU